AUUGAACGCUGGCGGCAGGCCUAACACAUGCAAGUCGAACGGCAGCGGGGGAAGCUUGCUUCCCCGCCGGCGAGUGGCGGACGGGUGAGUAAUGCCUGGGGAGCUGCCCAAUCGAGGGGGAUACCAGUUGGAAACGACUGCUAAUACCGCAUACGCCCUGAGGGGGAAAGGUGGGGAUCUUCGGACCUAUCGCGAUUGGAUGCACCCAGGUGGGAUUAGCUAGUUGGUGAGGUAACGGCUCACCAAGGCGACGAUCUCUAGCUGGUCUGAGAGGAUGACCAGCCACACUGGAACUGAGACACGGUCCAGACUCCUACGGGAGGCAGCAGUGGGGAAUAUUGCACAAUGGGCGAAAGCCUGAUCCAGCAAUGCCGCGUGAGUGACGAAGGCCUUAGGGUUGUAAAACUCUUUCAGUAGGGAAGAUAAUGACGGUACCUACAGAAGAAGCACCGGCUAACUCCGUGCCAGCAGCCGCGGUAAAGUCUAGCA
This 489-nucleotide ribosomal RNA is filed under the name uncultured bacterium. Its description in RNAcentral is "bacterial SSU rRNA". It matches the Rfam family "Bacterial small subunit ribosomal RNA", at positions 29 to 532 of the family's 1533-position model. The record is from RNAcentral.